Molecule: long non-coding RNA, 3068 nt
Filed under: Anthonomus grandis grandis
Lineage: Eukaryota; Metazoa; Arthropoda; Insecta; Coleoptera; Curculionidae
Description: uncharacterized LOC126746537
Source: RNAcentral
UUUUUCCUGGAAAAACUAAAAACUUUCAAUUGUUUUUUCUAACAUUUUUGGAAUAUUUGAAACCUUCCGAAUCGUUUGGUACCACUGGAAAAGUCGUACGACUUAUAGGUUCCAAGCUACGCGCCUUCAAAGUUUCUUAUUAAAUUCCAAAAAUUGGUCAACUUUGGAAUUUUUUCCUGGAAAAACCAAAAACUUUCAAUUGUUUUUUCUGACAUUUUUGGAAUAUUUGGAACCUUCCGAAUCGUUUGGUACCACUGGAAAAGUCGUACGACUUAUAGGUUCCAAGCUACGCGCCUUCAAAGUUUCUUAUUAAAUUCCGAAAAUUGGUCAACUUUGGAAUUUUUUCCUGGAAAAACUAAAAACUUUCAAUUGUUUUUUCUAACAUUUUUGAAAUAUUUGGAACCUUCCGAAUCGUUUGGUACCACUGGAAAAGUCGUACGACUUAUAGGUUCCAAGCUACGCGCCUUCAAAGUUUCUUAUUAAAUUCCAAAAAUUGGUCAACUUUGGAAUUUUUUUCUGGAAAAACUAAAAACUUUCAAUUGUUUUUUCGGACAUUUUUGGAAUAUUUGGAACCUUCCGAAUCGUUUGGUACCACUGGAAAAGUCGUACGACUUGUAGGUUCCAAGCUACGCGCCUUCAAAGUUUCUUAUUAAAUUCCAAAAAUUGGUCAACUUUGGAAUUUUUUCCUGGAAAAACUAAAAACUUUCAAUUGUUUUUUCGGACAUUUUUGGAAUAUUUGGAGUCUUCCGAAUCGUUUGGUACCACUGGAAAAGUCGUGCGACUUAUAGGUUCCAAUAAUAAUAUAAAAGAAACUUACGUGGUGCCUUUCUGAAACUCCGACAACACAUCCAAGUCGGCAAACUCUCUUUGGUGAGACUCCGCCUCUCCACCCCUUUUGCACACCCUCGCGUACUCUUCACCCCUCCUCACCGGAUCAUCAGUCGGCAACUGUUUCCUGGGCGACCCUCCUACGGACAACGUUGCCAAAUCGUUCGCCACCGCUGCCAAAGUUUCCGCACUAAUAACGGCGGCCGCGUCCUUUUUCGGGGGCGACGUUGCCGCCUUUUUCGACCCCAAAUUGUAGUUCAAACCGCGAUUCGAAAUGUCCCCCUGCACAUUAAACGCGCCCUUGGCCCCGCCGUACGUUUGAAUUUUCCGCAUAAUUUCGCGCUCGAGGUCGUCGCUUUGGUUCAUCAUAGGGGGCGGCACGGGGGGUGAGUAAAAGGGGCGGCUCACUUCCGCCAACACCUUGGAAGUGUCAAAAGGAUCCUCCGAGGGAUUGGCCAGGGAGGCGGUGUUGUAGUAGGCGGGCGGGUUGUUGUAAGGCGGGGGCGGCGAGGCACUUGGCAACACUGGAUCUGUAAAUUGAUUUUUUUUUUACCAAAAUUUUAAUUAAUUAAAUUAAAGUGUUAUAAACAGUCGAAAUAAAAAGACACUCACCGUUAAAACCGCCCUCCUGGGGCACGUCAAUCGGCUCGUCCAAUAAACUAACGGGGGCGGCGUCCUGCUGCCGCCUCAACACGAAAUCCCGCCCCUCGGGGGGCGUCACGUCGACCAACACGGGGGGCUGGGGCGGCCUCUGGGGCCUCCCGCCCUUCACCUCCUCCUCCCUCAACUUCUUAUAGUUGAACUGUCUCUCCACCUGCGCCUGCUUCAAGGGCCCCACAUUAAGACUCCGCACGACGUUCGAACGCGGCUUCGAGGUCGCGCUUCGAUGCACGACUCCGCCCCCCAUCAAGUCGGGGGGCUCCAUCGGGUUUUUAAGGUACAUGUCGUCGAUCUGAGCGGGGCUGCCCCAACUCUCCCCGAAAGCCGACCCGUGGCCCGUGUGAAUGAACGAGUGGUCCAGCGGUUUGCUGAUGUCCUCGGGCUGUUUGGGGCGCAACGGGUCCACUAGGCAUCUGGAAGUUUACAUGCUUAUGUAGAAAAAUGUUUUCUGAAUAUUUUGCGGUUUAUUUGAUGAGUCUAGGACCGGUAGAACAGGAGAAAAUUGGAUUUUUGUGCCACUGAGCCGGAAAAUCAAAUUAUUCGAAGUAAAGGUCAAUAGCUCCUAAAGUUCUACUCCAAUCACCCAAAACCCUUAACAAACUUUGUAGAACCAUGUUUCCUUAAGACUCUACAGUUGGUUUCAUUCAUCUACACCCAGUAGACACAGAGAAAUUUCAAUUCUUGUGAUGCCUGGACUAGAAAUUUAAUUUUUCAGAUUAGAGGCCAAUAGCACCAAAGGUUCUACUACAAUCACUUAAGACCCUUAACAAACUUUGUAGAACCAUGUUUCCUUAAGACUCUACAGUUGGUUUCAUUCAUCUACACCCAGUAGACACAAAGAAAUUUCAAUUCUUGGGAUGCCUGGACUAGAAAUUUAAUUUUUCAGAUUAGAGGCCAAUAGCACCAAAGGUCCUACUCCAAUCACCCAAAACCCUUAACAAACUUUGUAGAGGCAUGUUUUCUAAAGACUCUACAGUUGGUUUCAUUCAUCUAGACCCAGUAGACACAGAGAAAUUUCAAUUCUUGGGAUGCCUGGACUAGAAAUUUAAUUUUUCAGUUUAGAGGCCAAUAGCACCAAAGGUUCUACUCCAAUCACCCAAAACCCUUAACAAACUUUGUAGAAGCAUGUUUCCUUAAGACUCUACAGUUGGUUUUAUUCAUCUACACCCAGUAGACCCAGAGAAAUUUCAAUUCUUGGGAUGCCUGGACUAGAAAUUUAAUUUUUCAGUUUAGAGGCCAAUAGCACCAAAGGUCCUACUCCAAUCACCCAAAACCCUUAACAAACUUUGUAGAACCAUGUUUUCUUAAGACUCUACAGUUGGUUUUAUUCAUCUACACCCAGUAGACCCAGAGAAAUUUCAAUUCUUGGGAUGCCUGGACUAGAAAUUUAAUUUUUCAGAUUAGAGGCCAAUAGCACCAAAGGUCCUACUCCAAUCACCCAAAACCCUUAACAAACUUUGUAGAACCAUGUUUUCUAAAGACUCUACAGUUGGUUUCAUUCAUCUACACCCAGUAGACCCAGAGAAAUUUCAAUUCUUGGGAUGCCUGGACUAGAAAUUUAAUUUUUCUGAUUAGAGGUC